RNAcentral lists this small nuclear RNA (91 nucleotides) under Mus pahari (shrew mouse). Lineage: Eukaryota; Metazoa; Chordata; Mammalia; Rodentia; Muridae. The record is from RNAcentral.
GUGCUCGCUUCAGCAGCACAUAUACAAAAAUUGGAACAAUACAGGGAAGAUUAGCAUGGCCCCUGCACAAGGACGACAUGCAAAUUCGUGA